This 252-nucleotide ribosomal RNA is filed under the name uncultured bacterium. Its description in RNAcentral is "partial 16S ribosomal RNA". It matches the Rfam family "Bacterial small subunit ribosomal RNA", at positions 524 to 776 of the family's 1533-position model. The record is from RNAcentral.
UACGAGGGUGCGAGCGUUAAUCGGAAUUACUGGGCGUAAAGGGUGCGUAGGCGGUUAUUUAAGUUAGAUGUGAAAUCCCCGGGCUUAACCUGGGAAUUGCAUUUAAUACUGAAAGACUAGAGUAGAGUAGAGGGAAGUGGAAUUUCCGGUGUAGCGGUGAAAUGCGUAGAUAUCGGAAAGAACAUCAGUGGCGAAGGCGGCUUCCUGGACUCAUACUGACGCUGAGGCACGAAAGCAUGGGGAGCAAACAGG